Molecule: ribosomal RNA, 417 nt
Filed under: Awaous gutum (tank goby)
Lineage: Eukaryota; Metazoa; Chordata; Actinopteri; Gobiiformes; Gobiidae
Description: partial 12S ribosomal RNA
Rfam family: Bacterial small subunit ribosomal RNA
Source: RNAcentral
GCCAGCCUUAAACAUAAAUAGCACCCUACAUUAGCUAUUCGCCAGGGAACUACGAGCCCCAGCUUAAAACCCAAAGGACUUGGCGGUGCUUUAAAUCCACCUAGAGGAGCCUGUUCUAUAACCGAUAACCCCCGUUCAACCUCACCUUCCCUUGUUAACCCCGCCUAUAUACCGCCGUCGUCAGCUUACCCCCUAAGGGUUAAACAGUAAGCAUAAUUGGUCUAACCCUAAACGUCAGGUCGAGGUGUAGCGCAUGAGAAGGAAAGAAAUGGGCUACAUUCACUACCUAAGUGAACACGAAUGAUAAAUUGAAACAUUCAUCUGAAGGAGGAUUUAGCAGUAAGCAGAAAAUAGAGCGUUCUGCUGAAACCGGUUCUAAAGCGCGCACACACCGCCCGUCACCCUCUGGCAGUUCAA